RNAcentral lists this ribosomal RNA (485 nucleotides) under uncultured bacterium. RNAcentral describes it as "partial 16S ribosomal RNA". It matches the Rfam family "Bacterial small subunit ribosomal RNA", at positions 30 to 507 of the family's 1533-position model. The record is from RNAcentral.
UUGAACGCUGGCGGCAUGCCUUACACAUGCAGGUCGAACGGCAGCACGGGUGCUUGCACCUGGUGGCGAGUGGCGAACGGGUGAGUAAUACAUCGGAACAUGUCCUGUAGUGGGGGAUAGCCCGGCGAAAGCCGGAUUAAUACCGCAUACGAUCUACGGAUGAAAGCGGGGGACCUUCGGGCCUCGCGCUAUAGGGUUGGCCGAUGGCUGAUUAGCUAGUUGGUGGGGUAAAGGCCUACCAAGGCGACGAUCAGUAGCUGGUCUGAGAGGACGACCAGCCACACUGGGACUGAGACACGGCCCAGACUCCUACGGGAGGCAGCAGUGGGGAAUUUUGGACAAUGGGCGAAAGCCUGAUCCAGCAAUGCCGCGUGUGUGAAGAAGGCCUUCGGGUUGUAAAGCACUUUUGUCCGGAAAGAAAUCCUUGGCUCUAAUACAGUCGGGGGAUGACGGUACCGGAAGAAUAAGCACCGGCUAACUACGUG